UGGGGAAUAUUGGACAAUGGGGGCAACCCUGAUCCAGCCAUGCCGCGUGUGUGAAGAAGGCCUUCGGGUUGUAAAGCACUUUUGUACGGGAAGAAAUCGUUUGGGUUAAUACCCUGAGCGGAUGACGGUACCGUAAGAAUAAGCACCGGCUAACUUCGUGCCAGCAGCCGCGGUAAUACGAAGGGUGCAAGCGUUACUCGGAAUUACUGGGCGUAAAGCGUGCGUAGGCGGUUUGUUAAGUCAGAUGUGAAAUCCCCGGGCUCAACCUGGGAAUGGCAUUUGAUACUGGCGAGCUAGAGUACGGUAGAGGGUGGUGGAAUUCCCGGUGUAGCGGUGAAAUGCGUAGAGAUCGGGAGGAACAUCUGUGGCGAAGGCGGCCACCUGGACCAGUACUGACGCUGAGGCACGAAAGCGUGGGGAGCAAACAGGAUUAGAUACCCCGGUAGUCCCUGAGCGGGCUGGCAAGGCGCAU
RNAcentral lists this ribosomal RNA (472 nucleotides) under uncultured bacterium. RNAcentral's name for it is "bacterial SSU rRNA". It matches the Rfam family "Bacterial small subunit ribosomal RNA", at positions 355 to 825 of the family's 1533-position model. The record is from RNAcentral.